AGCGCAUACGGUGGAUGCCUUGGCAGUCAGAGGCGAUGAAAGACGUGGUAGCCUGCGAAAAGCUUCGGGGAGUCGGCAAACAGACUGUGAUCCGGAGAUAUCUGAAUGGGGGAACCCAGCCAUCAUAAGAUGGUUAUCUUGUACUGAAUACAUAGGUGCAAGAGGCGAACCAGGGGAACUGAAACAUCUAAGUACCCUGAGGAAAAGAAAUCAACCGAGAUUCCCUUAGUAGUGGCGAGCGAACGGGGACCAGCCCUUAAGUUGUAUUGAGAUUAGCGGAACGUUCUGGAAAGGACGGCCAUAGUGGGUGAUAGCCCUGUACGCGAAAAUCCCUUUGCAAUGAAAUCGAGUAGGACGGGGCACGAGAAACCUUGUCUGAAUAUGGGGGGACCAUCCUCCAAGGCUAAAUACUACUGACUGACCGAUAGUGAACCAGUACCGUGAGGGAAAGGCGAAAAGAACCGCGGAGAGCGGAGUGAAAUAGAUCCUGAAACCGUAUGCGUACAAGCAGUGGGAGCCCACUUGUUGGGUGACUGCGUACCUUUUGUAUAAUGGGUCAGCGACUUAUUUUCAGUGGCGAGCUUAACCGAAUAGGGGAGGCGUAGCGAAAGCGAGUCUUAAUAGGGCGUCUAGUCGCUGGGAAUAGACCCGAAACCGGGCGAUCUAUCCAUGGGCAGGUUGAAGGUUGGGUAACACUAACUGGAGGACCGAACCGACUACCGUUGAAAAGUUAGCGGAUGACCUGUGGAUCGGAGUGAAAGGCUAAUCAAGCUCGGAGAUAGCUGGUUCUCCUCGAAAGCUAUUUAGGUAGCGCCUCAUGUAUCACUGUAGGGGGUAGAGCACUGUUUCGGCUAGGGGGUCAUCCCGACUUACCAAACCGAUGCAAACUCCGAAUACCUACAAGUGCCGAGCAUGGGAGACACACGGCGGGUGCUAACGUCCGUCGUGAAAAGGGAAACAACCCAGACCGUCAGCUAAGGUCCCAAAGUCAUGGUUAAGUGGGAAACGAUGUGGGAAGGCUUAGACAGCUAGGAGGUUGGCUUAGAAGCAGCCACCCUUUAAAGAAAGCGUAAUAGCUCACUAGUCGAGUCGGCCUGCGCGGAAGAUGUAACGGGGCUCAAACCAUGCACCGAAGCUACGGGUAUCAUCUUAGGAUGAUGCGGUAGAGGAGCGUUCUGUAAGCCUGUGAAGGUGAGUUGAGAAGCUUGCUGGAGGUAUCAGAAGUGCGAAUGCUGACAUGAGUAACGACAAUGGGUGUGAAAAACACCCACGCCGAAAGACCAAGGUUUCCUGCGCAACGUUAAUCGACGCAGGGUUAGUCGGUCCCUAAGGCGAGGCUGAAAAGCGUAGUCGAUGGAAAACAGGUUAAUAUUCCUGUACUUCUGGUUAUUGCGAUGGAGGGACGGAGAAGGCUAGGCCAGCCUGGCGUUGGUAGUCCAGGUUUAAGGUGGUAGGCUGAGAUCUUAGGUAAAUCCGGGAUCUUAAGGCCGAGAGCUGAUGACGAGUGUUCUUUUAGAACAUGAAGUGGUUGAUGCCAUGCUUCCAAGAAAAGCUUCUAAGCUUCAGGUAACCAGGAACCGUACCCCAAACCGACACAGGUGGUUGGGUAGAGAAUACCAAGGCGCUUGAGAGAACUCGGGUGAAGGAACUAGGCAAAAUGGCACCGUAACUUCGGGAGAAGGUGCGCCGGUGGAGGUGAAGCAUUUACUGCGUAAGCCCCUGCCGGUCGAAGAUACCAGGCCGCUGCGACUGUUUAUUAAAAACACAGCACUCUGCAAACACGAAAGUGGACGUAUAGGGUGUGACGCCUGCCCGGUGCCGGAAGGUUAAUUGAUGGGGUUAGCGCAAGCGAAGCUCUUGAUCGAAGCCCCGGUAAACGGCGGCCGUAACUAUAACGGUCCUAAGGUAGCGAAAUUCCUUGUCGGGUAAGUUCCGACCUGCACGAAUGGCGUAACGAUGGCGGCGCUGUCUCCACCCGAGACUCAGUGAAAUUGAAAUCGCUGUGAAGAUGCAGUGUAUCCGCGGCUAGACGGAAAGACCCCGUGAACCUUUACUAUAGCUUUGCACUGGACUUUGAAUUUGCUUGUGUAGGAUAGGUGGGAGGCUUUGAAGCGUGGACGCCAGUCUGCGUGGAGCCAACCUUGAAAUACCACCCUGGCAACUUUGAGGUUCUAACUCAGGUCCGUUAUCCGGAUCGAGGACAGUGUAUGGUGGGUAGUUUGACUGGGGCGGUCUCCUCCUAAAGAGUAACGGAGGAGUACGAAGGUGCGCUCAGACCGGUCGGAAAUCGGUCGUAGAGUAUAAAGGCAAAAGCGCGCUUGACUGCGAGACAGACACGUCGAGCAGGUACGAAAGUAGGUCUUAGUGAUCCGGUGGUUCUGUAUGGAAGGGCCAUCGCUCAACGGAUAAAAGGUACUCCGGGGAUAACAGGCUGAUACCGCCCAAGAGUUCAUAUCGACGGCGGUGUUUGGCACCUCGAUGUCGGCUCAUCACAUCCUGGGGCUGAAGCCGGUCCCAAGGGUAUGGCUGUUCGCCAUUUAAAGUGGUACGCGAGCUGGGUUUAGAACGUCGUGAGACAGUUCGGUCCCUAUCUGCCGUGGACGUUUGAGAUUUGAGAGGGGCUGCUCCUAGUACGAGAGGACCGGAGUGGACGAACCUCUGGUGUUCCGGUUGUCACGCCAGUGGCAUUGCCGGGUAGCUAUGUUCGGAAAAGAUAACCGCUGAAAGCAUCUAAGCGGGAAACUUGCCUCAAGAUGAGAUCUCACUGGAACCUUGA
RNAcentral lists this ribosomal RNA (2776 nucleotides) under Pseudomonas syringae pv. syringae. RNAcentral describes it as "bacterial LSU rRNA". It matches the Rfam family "Bacterial large subunit ribosomal RNA". The record is from RNAcentral. Lineage: Bacteria; Pseudomonadati; Pseudomonadota; Gammaproteobacteria; Pseudomonadales; Pseudomonadaceae.